GUACAUACUGCACGCACACGUAUCAACAUAUAUAAUAGAUCACCCUAUCUGCUGGCCGUUGCAAAUCUAUAGACAGGAAAUAGUGUCCAUACGCAUAGAACUACCUCAAAUACACCAUCUUUUCCACCUAUACCAUAGCCACCACUGCUAUCUGCACUUUCAAUAUGCCACAAAUCAACCCCUAACUCCAACCACCGCAAAAUUAGAAAAAGAAAGAGAAAUGAAAAAAUCUAAACUUCGUUGUCAAUCGUCAUCUACAGCACUGGACCACCAACAACACCAUCAUCGUCAACUAAUAGUAACCCAACCAAUAGUGAAAACAAACUAGACAACAAAAUUAGAAAAUAAGUCGGGUUUGCUACAUGUGUACAGAUCUUAUUUUUUUAUGUGGUCGAAGUUAAUGGUGGUUGAAGUAGGCAUUGGUCAAAGUAAGGAGUUGAGAAAGAGACGUACAAAUUAUAAAUGUAUACUGGAGUAAAUAUUGAAAAAUGAAAGAACGUCUUAGACAAAAUAAUGAAAGAGAACUCUUAAGUCCUAUAUCCAUCGAAUAUUUAUGAAUGGCUAUGAAACUAGGAGGAGGGUGAUCCGCUGUUUGAAAUCAUCCUAGACAUAAUAAUUCUAUGUCAUCAAGAACGCGUCCUAACUUCAAUUAAGUCUUGUUAGUAAGAUUGGAAAAAAAAUCCUUGAAGCUUGGUUCACUCAAAAGUUCACAUACCUCAUUGUAUACCCAACCUUAGGUUGAAAACUACUCAUUUUGCCCAGUUAACGCAUAUACCAAAAUAGAUAACUAUCCUAAAAGGAAGCACAUCGAUGUAUAGCACUUCCACAGAAGAUGAAGAAGCUCUAGAACAACUGUCUCUAAGACGACUCCCCGGAUCAGAGUAAUAAGGAAAAUUCUGAGCAACUUGUUGAGAAG
Molecule: long non-coding RNA, 916 nt
Filed under: Olea europaea subsp. europaea
Lineage: Eukaryota; Viridiplantae; Streptophyta; Magnoliopsida; Lamiales; Oleaceae
Source: RNAcentral